RNAcentral lists this ribosomal RNA (497 nucleotides) under uncultured bacterium. Its description in RNAcentral is "partial 16S ribosomal RNA". It matches the Rfam family "Bacterial small subunit ribosomal RNA", at positions 28 to 507 of the family's 1533-position model. The record is from RNAcentral.
GACGAACGCUGGCGGCGUGCCUAAUACAUGCAAGUAGAACGCUGAAGAGAGGAGCUUGCUCUUCUUGGAUGAGUUGCGAACGGGUGAGUAACGCGUAGGUAACCUGCCUUGUAGCGGGGGAUAACUAUUGGAAACGAUAGCUAAUACCGCAUAACAAUGGAUGACACAUGUCAUUUAUUUGAAAGGGGCAAUUGCUCCACUACAAGAUGGACCUGCGUUGUAUUAGCUAGUAGGUGAGGUAAUGGCUCACCUAGGCGACGAUACAUAGCCGACCUGAGAGGGGGAGCGGCCAAACUGGGACUGAGACACGGCCCAGACUCCUACGGGAGGCAGCAGUAGGGAAUCUUCGGCAAUGGGGGCAACCCUGACCGAGCAACGCCGCGUGAGUGAAGAAGGUUUUCGGAUCGUAAAGCUCUGUUGUAAGUCAAGAACGGGUGUGAGAGUGGAAAGUUCACACUGUGACGGUAGCUUACCAGAAAGGGACGGCUAACUACGUG